CUCCCCAGAUCCCAGGCCUCCUGCCUCCAGUCCCCAGCCCGCAGCCCAGGAUUAGGCAGAGCCAGCUGCUUUCCCGUGGCUGCCCUGACUCCUUACAGGGAUCACUGAGAUUCUGAUGAACAGACCUUCUGCCCGCAAUGCCUUGGGGAAUGUCUUCGUCAGUGAGCUGCUGGAAACUCUGGCCCAGCUGCGGGAGGACCGGCAAGUGCGUGUCCUGCUCUUCAGAAGUGGAGUGAAGGGCGUGUUCUGUGCAGGUGCAGACCUGAAGGAGCGGGAACAGAUGAGUGAAGCAGAGGUGGGGGUGUUUGUCCAGCGACUCCGGGGCCUGAUGAAUGACAUCGGUGAGGAUCUGGGUGUGGGGUGGAGGAGG
This 370-nucleotide long non-coding RNA is filed under the name Homo sapiens (human). RNAcentral describes it as "non-protein coding lnc-SLC1A7-5:5". Lineage: Eukaryota; Metazoa; Chordata; Mammalia; Primates; Hominidae. The record is from RNAcentral.